RNAcentral lists this ribosomal RNA (468 nucleotides) under uncultured bacterium. RNAcentral's name for it is "partial 16S ribosomal RNA". It matches the Rfam family "Bacterial small subunit ribosomal RNA", at positions 28 to 507 of the family's 1533-position model. The record is from RNAcentral.
GACGAACGCUGGCUGCGUGCUUAACACAUGCAAGUCGAACGGAAAGGCCCUGCUUUUGUGGGGUGCUCGAGUGGCGAACGGGUGAGUAACACGUGAGUAACCUGCCCUUGACUUUGGGAUAACUUCAGGAAACUGGGGCUAAUACCGGAUAGGAGCUCCUGCUGCAUGGUGGGGGUUGGAAAGUUUCGGCGGUUGGGGAUGGACUCGCGGCUUAUCAGCUUGUUGGUGGGGUAGUGGCUUACCAAGGCUUUGACGGGUAGCCGGCCUGAGAGGGUGACCGGGCAAAUUGGGACUGAGAUACGGCACAGACUCCUAAGGGAGGCAGAAGUAGGGAAUAUUGCACGAUGGGCGGAAGCAUGAUGCAGCAACGCCGCGUGAGGGAUGACGGCCUUCGGGUUGUAAACCGCUUUCGCAUGUGACGAAGCGUGAGUGAAGGUAAUGGGUAAAGAAGCACCGGCUAACUACGUG